GGAACAGCCGCGGUGGGAGGUGGAAUGCCUCGUUCCCACGCGGCCGCGGGGAGCUGCCAGGACGGGGUGCUCGGCGGUGGGCGUGAGGAGAGAGCCCCUCUUCCCGCGGGGGCGCGGGGCUGCGUGGCGGUGCUUCCAGCGCUUUCUUCCCUAACGUGAGCGGAGGACUCGGGUUCCUGCGCCGCCCCCGUUAGUUCAUCGUCUCCUCAGGGGACGCGCAGGAGGCGUGUUCGCCCAGAGCCCCCGCUCACUGAGGCCGCCAGCUCGAGCCGGGCGUGCGGUCGGGCGUGUGCGGGUUCAGGACGCUUGCUGGAGACAGUCCUGACGGAGCUUCAGAGAGGAAGGACGUCUACAGCCCUGAAAGGGGCUACCCAGUGUCCUGAGAGGAUUCAUUGUGAGAAAAGUGUCAGUCACAGUUUUAAGACCUUACUUUGAAAGGAAUUAAGGAGAAAGCAAAUUGGAAGGUAAGAUUUCAUCUUUGUUUUUGUAUU
Molecule: long non-coding RNA, 491 nt
Filed under: Dasypus novemcinctus (nine-banded armadillo)
Lineage: Eukaryota; Metazoa; Chordata; Mammalia; Cingulata; Dasypodidae
Description: lncRNA (ENSDNOG00000050502.1)
Source: RNAcentral